RNAcentral lists this transfer RNA (73 nucleotides) under Schistosoma mattheei. It matches the Rfam family "tRNA". Rfam says of the family: Transfer RNA (tRNA) molecules are approximately 80 nucleotides in length. Their secondary structure includes four short double-helical elements and three loops (D, anti-codon, and T loops). Lineage: Eukaryota; Metazoa; Platyhelminthes; Trematoda; Strigeidida; Schistosomatidae. The record is from Rfam by way of RNAcentral.
GCUCGGUUAGCUCAGUUGGUAGCGCAUCAGACUUUCAAUCUGAGGGUCAGGGAUUCAAACCCCCCAACGGGAG